GAAUAAUCCUUCUGGAGAGGAAUGGAAUAUUUGAUCGACAAUUUCGUCCUCAGUUAAGUAUUCUUCAGGGAUGAGGCCUAUAAUUUGGUUUUGGAAACCAAAUGUAUAGUACUCAGCAUCCAUUAACCCUUUCAAUUCUGGCAAGGAAUUGAGCAUGACCUGCCAGAUCUACAGAUUCAACAUAGUCCCUGUGGAGAGAAAUGGUUAAAACAUCACCUUCCAGAGAGACAUUCUGGAUCCUCUCUGGAGCAACUCUUACGGAAUGCUCAUCUACAGGUGCGAUUGCAUCAUUCACCUGCAGGAUAGUCACGUCAGGUGACUGAAUAUUCCUAAAAUGUACCUCAAUCGAGUCAGGUCUUUCUUCUAUCACAUGGCAGUUACGAUCAGAUUGUACAUGUGAUUUCUCAUAGGUUAUGGGAACCUUAGCCUGUGACCAUACAAUUCCAUUCACACAGUCAAUAAUUGUGUUAAGUCUUCUGAGUAUGUCUAUACCCAGAAUCAGUCGGUCAUAGAUGAGAUCUACCACUAUCACCGGGUGUCUAAAGGUUUUGUUACCUAUUUUAAACUUUUAACCAGGUAUUGCCAAUAACAUGAAGGGCAUUUCCUCCUACACUCAACAGAGCAUUGGGGAAAUCUCUUAGCUUCGGCUUAUCCGUUGCUAAGUCUAUUACCUGCUGGAAGUAGGUAUUGGAUAAGAUAGUGGCUUGUGAACCAGUAUCUAUUAACCCUUUGAAAGGCUGGGGUAGCGAAUCCUGUAUUUCUACAGACAUGUAGUACUUUCCUUCAUGUUCUUCUAAUUCACAUAAGAAUUUAGAAUGUGUCAACAUAUCAAUCGUUUUACAUACAUUACCGGUCACAGCAGUAGUUUCUACCUGUACUGAGGAAUGCUCAGUCUUACCCACAGGCCCAUCCUUUUUAGGAAUAUCUUGAACUGUCAAGCGGUAACUAGUGGUCGGCAUCUUAUCAGUUAACCCUUUCAGGUCUGGAUCCUGGAAACUUGUGGCUGCUGGGGCUACCUUAGCCUUUGGCUGCAAUGAAAAAACAGAGGAACACGUUGCGCCUCCUUCACCCGGAAGUGAAGUGACGGUAUGGGCAAUAGGUUUUCUAACACAACUAUUAUUUGUUUGACUAUUAUUACCUGGAAAGGAAACAGGGUUAGGUAUUACAUCUACUGAUAACCUAGCCUGUUUAGUCACAGUGGCUAUUAUUGCUGCGGCACUUGUUGUUGUUGCUGCGGUUGCACAGGUGGCUCUACAAUUGGAGCUAUCCCUAAAAAAGGAUUUCUGGCAAAGACUUGGUUAAUCUUUGCCAUUUCCUCCAUUAAUUUGCCCAUCUGGUCUGUCAAUUGACCAACCUGACGACGCAAAUUAUUUCCCCCAUUGCCGUUUUGUCUUUGCCCAUUAGAAUUUGGCUGGGAUGGCUGAGACUGUUGGGAGUUAUUGGAAGCAGAUUGGUUGUUUC
Molecule: non-coding RNA, 1461 nt
Organism: Pelobates cultripes (western spadefoot toad)
Lineage: Eukaryota; Metazoa; Chordata; Amphibia; Anura; Pelobatidae
Source: the annotation of a GenBank genome assembly